UAGGGAAUCUUCGGCAAUGGGGGGAACCCUGACCGAGCAACGCCGCGUGAGUGAAGAAGGUUUUCGGAUCGUAAAGCUCUGUUGUUAAGGAAGAACGAGUGUGAGAAUGGAAAGUUCAUGCUGUGACGGUACUUAACCAGAAAGGGACGGCUAACUACGUGCCAGCAGCCGCGGUAAUACGUAGGUCCCGAGCGUUGUCCGGAUUUAUUGGGCGUAAAGCGAGCGCAGGCGGUUAGAAAAGUCUGAAGUGAAAGGCAGUGGCUCAACCAUUGUAGGCUUUGGAAACUGUUUAACUAGAGUGCAGAAGGGGAGAGUGGAAUUCCAUGUGUAGCGGUGAAAUGCGUAGAUAUAUGGAGGAACACCAGUGGCGAAGGCGACUUUCUGGUCUGUAACUGACGCUGAUGUGCGAAAGCGUGGGAAUCAAACAGG
RNAcentral lists this ribosomal RNA (429 nucleotides) under Bacteroidota bacterium. RNAcentral's name for it is "Bacteroidetes bacterium partial 16S ribosomal RNA". It matches the Rfam family "Bacterial small subunit ribosomal RNA", at positions 355 to 776 of the family's 1533-position model. Lineage: Bacteria; Pseudomonadati; Bacteroidota. The record is from RNAcentral.